GAUCAGUGGCUCAAGGGACGACGCUGGCGGCGUGCUUAACACAUGCAAGUCGAACGGAAAGGCCCUGCUUUUGUGGGGUGCUCGAGUGGCGAACGGGUGAGUAACACGUGAGUAACCUGCCCUUGACUUUGGGAUAACUUCAGGAAACUGGGGCUAAUACCGGAUAGGAGCUCCUGCUGCAUGGUGGGGGUUGGAAAGUUUCGGCGGUUGGGGAUGGACUCGCGGCUUAUCAGCUUGUUGGUGGGGUAGUGGCUUACCAAGGCUUUGACGGGUAGCCGGCCUGAGAGGGUGACCGGCCACAUUGGGACUGAGAUACGGCCUAGACUCCUACGGGAGGCAGCAGUGGGGAAUAUUGCACAAUGGGCGGAAGCCUGAUGCAGCAACGCCGCGUGCGGGAUGACGGCCUUCGGGUUGUAAACCGCUUUCGCCUGUGACGAAGCGUGAGUGACGGUAAUGGGUAAAGAAGCACCGGCUAACUACGUG
RNAcentral lists this ribosomal RNA (483 nucleotides) under uncultured bacterium. Its description in RNAcentral is "bacterial SSU rRNA". It matches the Rfam family "Bacterial small subunit ribosomal RNA", at positions 26 to 507 of the family's 1533-position model. The record is from RNAcentral.